Molecule: unclassified non-coding RNA, 196 nt
Filed under: uncultured fungus
Lineage: Eukaryota; Fungi
Description: sequence contains ITS1
Source: RNAcentral
GUAUAUGUUUUAUAGGCACAACAUUCUAUCGACAUACAUUGGGGUAAAUGAAACGACAUAGACCUAGAAGGGUCUACAAAAGGUGCACAGGUGGAGAUAUAAAGAUGACAAGGCGUGCACAUGCUCCCUAGAGAACCAGCAACAACCCAUCAGGUUUAUUUCAAUAAUGAUCCUUCCGCAGGUUCACCUACGGAAA